This 85-nucleotide transfer RNA is filed under the name Caudoviricetes sp. RNAcentral's name for it is "tRNA-Leu". It matches the Rfam family "tRNA". Rfam says of the family: Transfer RNA (tRNA) molecules are approximately 80 nucleotides in length. Their secondary structure includes four short double-helical elements and three loops (D, anti-codon, and T loops). Further hydrogen bonds mediate the characteristic L-shaped molecular structure. tRNAs have two regions of fundamental functional importance: the anti-codon, which is responsible for specific mRNA codon recognition, and the 3' end, to which the tRNAs corresponding amino acid is attached (by aminoacyl-tRNA synthetases). tRNAs cope with the degeneracy of the genetic code in two manners: having more than one tRNA (with a specific anti-codon) for a particular amino acid; and 'wobble' base-pairing, i.e. permitting non-standard base-pairing at the 3rd anti-codon position. Lineage: Duplodnaviria; Heunggongvirae; Uroviricota; Caudoviricetes. The record is from RNAcentral.
GCCCGAAUGCUGAAAUUGGUAGACAGACCGCACUCAAAAUGCGGCGUCGAAAGACGUGUGGGUUCGAGUCCCACUUUGGGCACCA